UCCGAGUUGUCCCCGGCAGUCUCUUUAGAGUCCCCGGCAUUACCCGCUGGCAACUAAAGACAGGGGUUGCGCUCGUUGCGGCACUUAAGCCAACACCUCACGGCACGAGCUGACGACAGCCAUGCAGCACCUGUGCUGGCCCCUUACGGACACGGGCUUUCACCCGCUUUAACCAGCAUGUCAAGCCUAGGUAAGGUUCUUCGCGUUGCAUCGAAUUAAGCCACAUGCUCCGCCGCUUGUGCGGGUCCCCGUCAAUUCCUUUGAGUUUUAGCCUUGCGGCCGUACUCCCCAGGCGGAGUGCUUAAUGCGUUAGCUGCGGCACAGAGCGGGUUGAAGACCGCCCCACACCUAGUGCCCAACGUUUACGGCGUGGACUAC
Molecule: unclassified non-coding RNA, 378 nt
Filed under: uncultured Actinomycetes bacterium
Lineage: Bacteria; Bacillati; Actinomycetota; Actinomycetes
Description: uncultured actinobacterium contains 16S-23S intergenic spacer region
Source: RNAcentral